CCGCUGGGGGCGCCGUAACGGCUGAGAUUGCGAAAGCUUGUCCCUUUUUCACCUGAUCCAGGUUAUGCUGGCGUAGGGAAGUGAC
Molecule: non-coding RNA, 85 nt
Filed under: Jeotgalicoccus aerolatus
Lineage: Bacteria; Bacillati; Bacillota; Bacilli; Caryophanales; Staphylococcaceae
Description: TPP riboswitch (THI element)
Rfam family: TPP riboswitch aptamer (THI element)
About the family: Vitamin B(1) in its active form thiamin pyrophosphate (TPP) is an essential coenzyme that is synthesised by coupling of pyrimidine and thiazole moieties in bacteria.
Source: RNAcentral